AACCUGCCUUGUAGUGGGGGAUACCCAGCCGAAAGGUUGGCUAAUACCGCAUAAUCUGUUGGUCUGAGAUAGCCAUCAGGAAAGAUUCAUCGCUAUUAGAGGGGCCUGCGUUCGAUUAGCUAGUUGGUGAGGUAAUGGCUCACCAAGGCUACGAUCGAUAGCUGGUCUGAGAGGACGAUCAGCCACACUGGAACUGAGACACGGUCCAGACUCCUACGGGAGGCAGCAGUGGGGAAUUUUCCGCAAUGGGCGAAAGCCUGACGGAGCAACGCCGCGUGGGC
RNAcentral lists this ribosomal RNA (281 nucleotides) under uncultured bacterium. RNAcentral's name for it is "partial 16S ribosomal RNA". It matches the Rfam family "Bacterial small subunit ribosomal RNA", at positions 123 to 406 of the family's 1533-position model. The record is from RNAcentral.